Long non-coding RNA from Maniola jurtina (meadow brown), 180 nucleotides. RefSeq lists it as uncharacterized. The transcript is spliced from 4 exons. Lineage: Eukaryota; Metazoa; Arthropoda; Insecta; Lepidoptera; Nymphalidae. The record is from RefSeq and is a predicted model, not a curated record.
AAUGCGACAAGGAUAUUUUGGCGCGUGGCCCAAAUCGGAACUAACACCGCCAUCUUGUGAAGUGUCACGCUGAGUUUUUUUUUGCUGACAGCCUUUGUUCUACAAGUACGCCCCUCUGUCAAUGUCAUUCAAGUGCCAAAAGAUCCUUGUCGUACUUAAGGUUUUUAGAGAUAGUUUGCA